AUGUAUAACUAUAAGAAAAAGGAAGGGAAAUUGUAUACGAUUAAAAAGCUCGUGGGUUAGAGAUAUAGAAAAGAAAAAGUAGAAAAGAAUAAAAAAGAGGGAAUUCCUAAUCCAAUCAAAAAACCCAUUUUGGUCUUAGUGUGGAUAGAGGAUCUUCCUAUGUUAUACUAUAUAACUCUCAUCCGUGAAAUGUAA
This 195-nucleotide ribosomal RNA is filed under the name Triticum aestivum (bread wheat). RNAcentral describes it as "partial small subunit ribosomal RNA". Lineage: Eukaryota; Viridiplantae; Streptophyta; Magnoliopsida; Poales; Poaceae. The record is from RNAcentral.